RNAcentral lists this ribosomal RNA (212 nucleotides) under Salmonella enterica subsp. enterica serovar Infantis. RNAcentral's name for it is "partial 23S ribosomal RNA". It matches the Rfam family "Bacterial large subunit ribosomal RNA", at positions 148 to 395 of the family's 2925-position model. The record is from RNAcentral. Lineage: Bacteria; Pseudomonadati; Pseudomonadota; Gammaproteobacteria; Enterobacterales; Enterobacteriaceae.
UUUUCGCAACACGAUGAGUUAGGUUAAUGAGGCGAACCGGGGGAACUGAAACAUCUAAGUACCCCGAGGAAAAGAAAUCAACCGAGAUUCCCCCAGUAGCGGCGAGCGAACGGGGAGGAGCCCAGAGCCUGAAUCAGCAUGUGUGUUAGUGGAAGCGUCUGGAAAGGCGCGCGAUACAGGGUGACAGCCCCGUACACAAAAGCGCAUGUGCU